This 3452-nucleotide ribosomal RNA is filed under the name Roseovarius bejariae. Its description in RNAcentral is "23S ribosomal RNA". It matches the Rfam family "Bacterial large subunit ribosomal RNA". Lineage: Bacteria; Pseudomonadati; Pseudomonadota; Alphaproteobacteria; Rhodobacterales; Roseobacteraceae. The record is from RNAcentral.
GAUCAAAUCAAGCGCGAGAAGGGCGUUUGGUGGAUGCCUUGGCAGUAAGAGGCGAUGAAGGACGUGAUACUCUGCGAUAAGUCAUGGGGAGGUGAGAAUAACCUUUGAUCCAUGAAUUUCCGAAUGGGGCAACCCACCUGACAGUAUGUUAUAAUUGCUUCGGCAAUUUAUAACCUGCUGAAACAGGUACUUAAAACCUGAAUACAUAGGGUUUUAAGAGCAAACCCGGAGAACUGAAACAUCUAAGUACCCGGAGGAAAGGAAAUCAAUUGAUACUCCCCUAGUAGCGGCGAGCGAACGGGGACCAGCCGAGCCUUGAGAGUGAUCAGAACAUGUUGGAAAGCAUGGCCAUAGCGGGUGACAGCCCCGUAUGAGAAGCUCGAUGGGACGUAUUAAGUAGGGCGGGACACGUGAAAUCCUGUCUGAAGAUCGGGGGACCACCCUCGAAGGCUAAGUACUCCUUACUGACCGAUAGCGAACCAGUACCGUGAGGGAAAGGUGAAAAGCACCCCGACGAGGGGAGUGAAACAGUACCUGAAACCGAGCGCCUACAAUCAGUCGGAGCUUGACUGGACUCUAAUGACAAUCUGCUUCAUGAAGUGUGCAAACACUCAAUAAUGGAGCGGACAGUGUCGGACCUGGCUUUUAUUACAGAUGGAACAGCAGCAGCAAUCUUCUUCAUCGCAGGAUUGGUUGAUGCCGGUGUUAACCAUUGCCCAAACGAGGGGUGCUUCGCAAAAAACGAAGUACAAUCAUAUAACAGCCUUGCGGUCGGCACGACGCACUUUCAGAAGAACGAGGUUGGAGAAGAAUUCUACUUCCGGCGCGAAACAGCCCGAGCAGAUGGACCGUUUCAACGCGUAUGGGGUGUUUCUGCUUCAAGUGAUGGUGAACUUUGGGCUGGUUUCGGCCACGCCUACACGGUUUCCAAUCGCAAAGAUAACCUCUUUCUGACCUUGAAUGCGAUGACCGGCCUUUAUGAAGAAGGCAGCGGCGUUGAUCUCGGCGGGCCGAUCGAAUUUCGGUCUGGUAUCGAGGUCGGAUACAAAAACAAGCAAGGGGUAAAGAUGAGCCUGAGUGUCGACCAUCGGUCGAACAUGGGCAUCUACAGUUACAACCCUGGCCUUGAAACGGUGCAAUUCCGGGUGUCCAUACCAACCAGAUAAGGUUGUCAUUAGUGUCCAGUCUUGUGACGGCGUACCUUUUGUAUAAUGGGUCAUCGACUUGGUCUAUCUAGCAAGCUUAAGCCGUUAGGUGUAGGCGCAGCGAAAGCGAGUCUUAAUAGGGCGUCGAGUUAGAUGGAUCAGACCCGAAACCGAGUGAUCUAGGCAUGACCAGGCUGAAGGUAAGGUAACACUUACUGGAGGGCCGAACCCACAUCUGUUGAAAAAGAUCGGGAUGAGUUGUGCCUAGGGGUGAAAGGCCAAUCAAACUCGGAGAUAGCUGGUUCUCUGCGAAAUCUAUUUAGGUAGAGCGUCAUCCGAAUACCCUCGGGGGUAGAGCACUGGAUGGGUAAUGGGGCCCCACAGGCUUACUGAUCCUAACCAAACUCCGAAUACCGAGGAGUACUAGAUGGCAGACACACAGCGGAUGCUAACGUCCGUUGUGGAGAGGGAAACAACCCUGACCUACAGCUAAGGCCCCCAAUUCGUGGCUAAGUGGGAAAGCAGGUGGGACGACCAAAACAACCAGGAGGUUGGCUUAGAAGCAGCCAUCCUUUAAAGAUAGCGUAACAGCUCACUGGUCUAAAUAAGUUGUCCUGCGGCGAAGAUGUAACGGGGCUCAAGCCACGAGCCGAAGCUUAGGAUGCCGUAAGGCAUGGUAGCAGAGCGUAGUGUGACAUAGUUCCAUUCCUCCUUAGUGCCGUUCGCGGUACAUUGGAGGAGAGGAACUUUCUGUGAAGCCGGCGCGUGAGCGAUCCGGUGGAGAGAUCACUAGCGAGAAUGAUGACAUGAGUAGCGACAAACAGGGUGAGAGACCCUGUCGCCGAAAGUCCAAGGGUUCCUGCUUAAAGCUAAUCUGAGCAGGGUAAGCCGACCCCUAAGGCGAGGCCGAAAGGCGUAGUCGAUGGGAACCAGGUUAAUAUUCCUGGGCCAGGAGGAUGUGACGGAUUGUGAAGGUUGUUCAGGCUUAUCGGAUUGUCUGGGCCGCUAAUCAGUCCCUGGAAAUAGCACCUCCAUCAGAUCGUACCCUAAACCAACACAGGUGGACUGGUAGAGAAUACCAAGGCGCUUGAGAGAACGAUGUUGAAGGAACUCGGCAAAAUACCUCCGUAAGUUCGCGAGAAGGAGGCCCAGUUUCUACGCAAGUAUUGGCUGGGGGCACAAACCAGGGGGUGGCGACUGUUUACUAAAAACACAGGGCUCUGCGAAGUCGCAAGACGACGUAUAGGGUCUGACGCCUGCCCGGUGCCUGAAGGUUAAAAGGAGAGGUGAGAGCCUUGAAUUGAAGCCCAGGUAAACGGCGGCCGUAACUAUAACGGUCCUAAGGUAGCGAAAUUCCUUGUCGGGUAAGUUCCGACCUGCACGAAUGGCGUAACGACUUCCCCGCUGUCUCCAACAUCGACUCAGCGAAAUUGAAUUGCCUGUCAAGAUGCAGGCUUCCCGCGGUUAGACGGAAAGACCCCGUGCACCUUUACUACAGCUUCGCACUGGCAUCAGGAUUGUGAUGUGCAGGAUAGGUGGUAGGCUUUGAAGCAGGAACGCUAGUUCCUGUGGAGCCUCCCUUGAGAUACCACCCUUCGCACUCUUGAUGUCUAACCGCGGUCCGUUAUCCGGAUCCGGGACCCUGCGUGGCGGGUAGUUUGACUGGGGCGGUCGCCUCCUAAAGAGUAACGGAGGCGCGCGAAGGUUGGCUCAGAGCGGUCGGAAAUCGCUCGUUGAGUGCAAUGGCAGAAGCCAGCCUGACUGCGAGACUGACAAGUCGAGCAGAGUCGAAAGACGGCCAUAGUGAUCCGGUGGUCCCGCGUGGAAGGGCCAUCGCUCAACGGAUAAAAGGUACGCCGGGGAUAACAGGCUGAUACUGCCCAAGAGUCCAUAUCGACGGCAGUGUUUGGCACCUCGAUGUCGGCUCAUCUCAUCCUGGGGCUGGAGCAGGUCCCAAGGGUACGGCUGUUCGCCGUUUAAAGAGGUACGUGAGCUGGGUUUAGAACGUCGUGAGACAGUUCGGUCCCUAUCUGCCGUGGGUGUAGGAUACUUGAGAGGAGUUGCCCCUAGUACGAGAGGACCGGGGUGAACGAUCCACUGGUGGACCUGUUGUUGCGCCAGCAGCAGUGCAGGGUAGCUAUGAUCGGACAGGAUAACCGCUGAAGGCAUCUAAGCGGGAAGCCCCCCUCAAAACAAGGUAUCCCUGAGGACCGUGGAAGACCACCACGUCGAUAGGCCGGAGAUGUAAGCGCAGCAAUGCGUUCAGUUGACCGGUACUAAUUGUCCGAUAGGCUUGAUUUGAUCCAG